Fukomys damarensis (Damara mole-rat) is the source of this 840-nucleotide long non-coding RNA. RefSeq lists it as uncharacterized. The record is from RefSeq and is a predicted model, not a curated record. The transcript has 3 exons. Lineage: Eukaryota; Metazoa; Chordata; Mammalia; Rodentia; Bathyergidae.
GCCUCGGCCUCGAGGCUCCGGCCUGUCAUCCGGUCCAGGAAAUCUGAGCCCGCCCCGAGUCUCUGCGGAUCACAGCACUUGGCUCUGGGGUCGGUGAGGGGCACAAGAGGAACUGCCCGAGUCCUUCUAGAGCCUAAAACUCCCCUCGUUGUCAUGCCUGAUGCUGCCAGGUUGACACAAACGCUCUGUAACCACGCAACAAAUCUGUCACCAGACAAAUCUGCACUACUUCGAGGAAAUUCCGAGGAAUAAAGGCGACAUCUUUACUCCUUCAACCAUUUUCCCCCCAUGGAACCGUGACAGUCCCUGCAAGCGGGCACUAAGCACAGCCUCUGGUCCCUAGGAAAAGCUUAGAAAAUAUAUUCAUGAGAGAGAGAAGGCUGGCACCUAAACUAAUGUAAGAUGACUGAGGGGCUGAAGAAAGAAAGGAAGAGCACUCUCCAGGAAGAGGAAGCGUGUACAAACCCCCAGAGACGAGAGGAGGCAAACGGAGGGACAUUUGGAAAACAGCAAGAACCUCAGCCCACGCCCAUUACACCCUUUAAGGUAAGCGUAAAUUGGACACUAAGCUUCCAGUCAAAGUGGAAAAGAGAGCCAAGGUCAUCUGGACAGCUGGUAUUGACAGAGAAGAGGAAGUGUACCAUGCUGUCAAAGAAACUGUUUAAACACACAAUUCAUUGUUGUCAGCUGUGGUCGCCCUACUAUGCAAUAAAAUACUAGAAUCUAUCUUUUCUAUCUAACUGUAACCGUGUGCAAGUUAACAGGCUGCCCUCUCCUCAUCUGCUCCUCUCUCCCCCUCCCCAGUGUAUGUGUGUGUGUUAUACUUUUUUAAAAUUUUAA